This 720-nucleotide ribosomal RNA is filed under the name uncultured bacterium. Its description in RNAcentral is "bacterial SSU rRNA". It matches the Rfam family "Bacterial small subunit ribosomal RNA", at positions 97 to 835 of the family's 1533-position model. The record is from RNAcentral.
GGCGGACGGGUGAGUAACGCGUGGAUAACCUGCCUCACACAGGGGGAUAACAGUUAGAAAUGACUGCUAAUACCGCAUAAGCGCACGGUACCGCAUGGUACAGUGCGAAAAACUCCGGUGGUGUGAGAUGGAUCCGCGUCUGAUUAGGUAGUUGGUGAGGUAACGGCCCACCAAGCCGACGAUCAGUAGCCGACCUGAGAGGGUGACCGGCCACAUUGGGACUGAGACACGGCCCAAACUCCUACGGGAGGCAGCAGUGGGGAAUAUUGCACAAUGGGCGAAAGCCUGAUGCAGCAACGCCGCGUGAGUGAAGAAGUAUCUCGGUAUGUAAAGUUCUAUCAGCAGGGAAGAAAAUGACGGUACCUGACUAAGAAGCCCCGGCUAACUACGUGCCAGCAGCCGCGGUAAUACGUAGGGGGCAAGCGUUAUCCGGAUUUACUGGGUGUAAAGGGAGCGCAGACGGCACUGCAAGUCUGAAGUGAAAGCCCGGGGCUCAACCCCGGGACUGCUUUGGAAACUGUAGAGCUAGAGUGCUGGAGAGGCAAGCGGAAUUCCUAGUGUAGCGGUGAAAUGCGUAGAUAUUAGGAAGAACACCAGUGGCGAAGGCGGCUUGCUGGACAGUAACUGACGUUCAGGCUCGAAAGCGUGGGGAGCAAACAGGAUUAGAUACCCUGGUAGUCCACGCCGUANACGAUGAAUACUAGGUGUUGGUGGGCAAAG